Molecule: long non-coding RNA, 1554 nt
Organism: Scylla paramamosain (green mud crab)
Lineage: Eukaryota; Metazoa; Arthropoda; Malacostraca; Decapoda; Portunidae
Exons: 7
Source: RefSeq, a predicted model, not a curated record
CAGCUCCUCCCUCGCUAACCUGUCCAUCUCCGCACUCCGGCAGCUUUCCUCCGUGCUGGGCAUUCCGACAGGCGUAAGGGGGAACUGGUGCAAGGGUAACAAGAGUCGUGGAGAGUAGAGAGAAAUACUGAAAGGAAAAUGAUGUGCUGGAUUACGUGGCCGGUGCUGAGGUAACAGUCCUCCUUUGUUACUGGCACUGAGAAAAACACUGAUGAAGAAGUCGAGGUUCUGCUGAAAGUCGGUGGGGAGAAGAUAGUGGUGAGCAGGAACAGCUGGUGGUGAAGUGGACCAGAAAGCUGCAGCCAGAAGAGAGCCAUCUCUUUGAGCAAACCCAGCAACCAGUCAACUUGAAAAGCCCUGGGAAGGCAAGAAUUAGGAUGGAUGGCAAGGAAAGACAUAUUGAGACAGUUGUAGGAGUUCAGAAGGGCACCAUCCACUUGGCAAUAAUAAUGAAUGGAGACCAGCAUGUCCUCUUGGCAUCGUGACUUGUUUGAGAUUCAGAUGGAGAGUGAAGAAAGUUUGCAGCAACACUCACCAUGUGGAAGCUCUACAUUGUCACCAUGACUGCCCAGGAUCCUUGUAUAGCAAAUCAGCAGCAGGAUUACUGGGGCAGGUAGAAGUUCAGAGGAGCAGAUAAAGAUGAAGAGGUUGUGAGAAUGCACUUGUGAUGUGGAACAGGCGAUGGGGGAGACAGUCUUUGGCAUUCAAGCAUAGUUUGAUUUCUUCAUGUGUGAGUCGAGGACAGACAGCUUGCAGAUGCUAUCCGUGGGAUGGAAAAAAGUGAUUACUGCACUUGCUUCUUUGGCCAGGAUGACUAUCAGAAUGCCCCAGGCUGUGCCAGGAUGGAUGACAAGGAUUUACAAAAAUGCAGGAGGUACAAGUAAUGAGAAAUCAACAGUUGCAAAACAAAAUUUCAAGAGAAUGAGAGAAGGGGAACAGGUACACAAGCUGAGAAGUGGGAGUUAUCAAACAGAGCUGGCACAGUGACUGGAUGGAUAUCUCAUCACAUAUUGCCAUCCAUGUCCAUUUUUGGUUUUAAUUGAGCAUUACUUUGUCUGCUGGUUUCGUUAAUGUAGUGGUGUAUGUGAACCCACCACAACUCAUGGGGGAGUAAGUAGAUUAAGCCUUAUUUACCCACCCCAUUGUGGUAUGUUAUGAGUCUGAAAUGGGAAUCUGUUAUUGGGAUGGACUUACUACUGCUAACAAUUGCAAUAUCUUAUUUGAUAAAAAAGCUUAGUACACUAGAAAGAUUAUAGAUCCUUGCAAAUGCCAGGCCUAAUCAAAUUUGAUGAUAUGCAAGUGGCAGCUGUUCAUCAUGACCAACACAGGCACUGAAUUCAAACAGUGCUCCUCUCCUUAUAGUCUGGGUUGUAGUACCGUUUAUUUACUUCCCUGUGGGUUGAGUGGCUUAUAUAGGUGUCACUGCAUCAAUGAGAAACUGUCUCGUAUUGAAAGCUAAACCAAAAACACACAUGGAGAGCAGUGACAGUUUCCCUAAUGUGGUUGGUUACAUGCUAAUUCUGUGUACCAAACAAAAUAAACUAUAAUAAUAAA